CUCCUACGGGUGGCUGCAGUAACGAAUAUUGGGCAAUGGGCGAAAGCCUGACCCAGCAAUGCCGCGUGCAGGAGGAAGCCCCUCGGGGUGUAAACUGCUGUCAGGGUCCAACAAGCAAAGUCGGUUAAUAGCCGGCGGCGCUGAGUAGACCCAAAGGAAGCCUCGGCUAACUCUGUGCCAGCAGCCGCGGUAAGACAGAGGAGGCAAGCGUUGUUCGGAUUCAUUGGGCUUAAAGAGCGCGUAGGCGGCUCGGUAAGCGUCCUGUGAAAGCCCACGGCUCAACCGUGGAAUUGCAGGGCGAACUGCUUGGCUUGAGGUUGGUAGAGGUGCCUGGAACUCUAGGUGGAGCGGUGAAAUGCGUAGAUAUCUAGAGGAACGCCAGAUGCGAAAGCGGGGCACUGGGCCAAUUCUGACGCUGAGGCGCGAAAGCGUGGGGAGCAAACAGGAUUAGAUACCCUGGUAGUCCACGCUGUAAACGAUGCACACUAGAUCUGGGAGGCUCUGACGUCGCCCGGGUCCAAGCGAAAGCGUUAAGUGUGCCGCCUGGGGACUACGGCCGCAAGGCUAAAACUCAAAGGAAUUGACGGGGGCUCACACAAGCGGUGGAG
Molecule: ribosomal RNA, 608 nt
Filed under: uncultured bacterium
Lineage: Bacteria
Description: bacterial SSU rRNA
Rfam family: Bacterial small subunit ribosomal RNA
Source: RNAcentral